RNAcentral lists this ribosomal RNA (446 nucleotides) under uncultured bacterium. Its description in RNAcentral is "partial 16S ribosomal RNA". It matches the Rfam family "Bacterial small subunit ribosomal RNA", at positions 338 to 795 of the family's 1533-position model. The record is from RNAcentral.
CCUACGGGUGGCAGCAGUCGAGAAUCAUUCACAAUGGGGGAAACCCUGAUGGUGCGACGCCGCGUGGGGGAAUGAAGGUCUUCGGAUUGUAAACCCCUGUCAUGUGGGAGCAAAUUAAAAAGAUAGUACCACACUAGGAAGAGACUGCUAACUCUGUGCCAGCAGCCGCGGUAAUACAGAGGUCUCAAGCGUUGUUCGGAAUCACUGGGCGUAAAGCGUGCGUAGGCUGUUUCGUAAGUCGUGUGUGAAAGGCGCGGGCUCAACCCGCGGACGGCACAUGAUACUGCGAGACUAGAGUAAUGGAGGGGGAACCGGAAUUCUCGGUGUAGCAGUGAAAUGCGUAGAUAUCGAGAGGAACACUCGUGGCGAAGGCGGGUUCCUGGACAUUAACUGACGCUGAGGCACGAAGGCCAGGGGAGCGAAAGGGAUUAGAUACCCCUGUAGUC